This 76-nucleotide transfer RNA is filed under the name Actinobacteria bacterium QS_8_72_14. RNAcentral describes it as "tRNA-Asn". It matches the Rfam family "tRNA". Rfam says of the family: Transfer RNA (tRNA) molecules are approximately 80 nucleotides in length. Their secondary structure includes four short double-helical elements and three loops (D, anti-codon, and T loops). Lineage: Bacteria; Bacillati; Actinomycetota. The record is from RNAcentral.
UCCGGGGUAGCUCAGCAGGCAGAGCGCUCCCCUGUUAAGGGAGAUGUCGCCGGUUCGAGCCCGGCCCCCGGAGCCA